This 293-nucleotide long non-coding RNA is filed under the name Panax ginseng (ginseng). RNAcentral's name for it is "long non-coding RNA (PGIN_LNC016805)". The record is from RNAcentral. Lineage: Eukaryota; Viridiplantae; Streptophyta; Magnoliopsida; Apiales; Araliaceae.
UCCAUCGAGCGGGUAUCGAGUAUAUAUGGUUCAAGAAAAAUGAAAUACUCGAACCCUAAUAUAAGCGAACACUGGUAUGCUCGAAUUCGACUCGUGUAUCAUUAAACAGAAAACGAGUAUGGAUCAGAUUAGACUCGGAUCAACUUCGAAUUCGAGCUUUGGAUCAUAUUUUCGAGCCAAUCUCGAGUUGAGUACCGAACUACUUGACUCGAUUUACACCCCUAUGUGCAAGUUCUUGAUUCUACCGAGGAGGUAAAUAUUGAUAAUUAAUUUGAAUUUAUUUUGUCUUUUUG